GAGCAGAAAGCACCCUCAGCUGGAGAUAAAUAUAUGCAAAUGAGAUGCACAAACAAAGGAGCCUGGACAGAGAAAUAUCUGCAAUUCCAGCAAAAUGCUGCCUGCAGCUCGAAGAUGAACAGCUUUGAUAAAAUGGAAUUAAGCCCCAAUCCCAGUCUCUUGCCGGAAGACAGGCUGGACCCAGGACAGAGAAAUUGCUGCACGUGAACAUAUGUAUGAUAUUUAGGUUAAUAAUCCAAGCAGUUAAGUGAGAAAUAUUCCUCGCAUGGGCUGGUGACUCAGAUACAGAUCUGCAACAAGCAACUAGGAUAAAAAAUAGUUAAAAUGAAUCAACAUUUAUCUGGAAUAUACAGUCCUGACCUUAAAAAAAAGUCAUUUAUCUUCUGUGUCCUGUAAUGUUUUGAGGAUUCUGGCAAAUAUGGCAGUUAAACAAACUUCUCUCAUAAUCUAAAUACUGUCUGUUCAAGAGAGGCUUCCAAUGUUUAUAGCCCAUAAGUAAAGAAAAAAAAAAAAAAUCCUGGUAUUUAACCAAGAAUAGUGCUCUUGAAAAUGUCUUCGAACAAAGUGUUUAAGCAAAACUUUGGCCACGGAUAUUUUCAGUUCCUCAUUCUUCUUCUGAUUCCUUUUUUCAAUGAGCUGUUUUCAUAUGCCAUCAUUUCUCUCCUUUCCUUGAAAUUAACGAAUUCAUUUCAAAAAAUGAAUGCCUAACUAGUGACCUGGUCAUACAAACUUCCUUGAGAAACAGUUGAGAAGAAAACAUCACAUUUUUAUGAACCCCAUCUCCUGCCAGGGGCCUCGGAGGAGGAACACCAUUAUGCAUUGUUAUCAGCGUGGUGUAAUUUGACUGUUGACAAAGUAUCCGUGGCAGUGAGAAUGAGCGCAGUUAGAAGUGUGGCGGAUUGUAAUCAAGAAGAUGCUUAGCUGUGCAACACUGCAUCUUGAGCAGAUUUGAAUCAACAUUGCCUUAAGGGGACACACACACAUACCAAAAGGAAAAAAAAAAUCCAUUAAUUUUUAGAGGGAAAAUUAGAGUGGCACUUGAUGAAGUGAAAUUUGACAUGC
Molecule: long non-coding RNA, 1062 nt
Organism: Bubalus bubalis (water buffalo)
Lineage: Eukaryota; Metazoa; Chordata; Mammalia; Artiodactyla; Bovidae
Exons: 3
Source: RefSeq, a predicted model, not a curated record